GCCACCAGGCCGGCCCCCCGAACAGUUUUAAAGCUCCUACAGUGUGGCCCAGCUGUGCCAUGGGCUGGUGGGAGCGUGUCUGUCCGCUUCUCUCGCUCCCCCUGGAACAGGUGGCCAGGUGGACGCUGUCUUGCAUCUUUGUUUCAAUGUGCGUUUGUCUGAUUAUCAGUCAAGUUGGGCAUCUUCCGGUGCAUGAUGGUGGAAAUCUCUGAAGGGGCCGGAUCAACAGCAGUGCUUUCCCUGCCCUCAGCCCCAAUGAUUCAGAAGUGAGACCAAAGAGGGAUGGAGGGGCUGAAAGAUCGCCUCUCUGCUUAGUGAAGAGGAAGGUGGAGGAAGCGGCUUCACGGGAGAGCCAAACGGACUGUGAACCACAGUAAGAAGUCCGGACAUGCCCUGCUCCACACCCCCGGGUGGCGCAGGCUGGACGGACGGCUGGACAGACAGCAGUGACAGACCCUCCCGGCCGUGGAUGUUGGCUGUCCUGGGAAUCGGCCACCAUCAUCAUCUUCGUCGUAUUUGAGCGAGUUCUCUGUGCUGGGCGUUCUGCCAAGACCUGCGAGCAGAUUAUCUGUCUGUUGAUAACGUCAGCUCCUCGAGAGAGAAAAGACUGCACCUCCUAAAGCGCCAUCUUGAGCGAAAAGAAUGCACACCAUGACGUGCCGAGGUAGACUGAGUAGUUGGCAUGGAUCCCAGCGAAUCAGACCCACUCGGGAUUAUAUUAGUUCCAGUCAUCAG
This is a long non-coding RNA of Equus quagga, 735 nucleotides long. RefSeq lists it as uncharacterized. The transcript is spliced from 3 exons. Lineage: Eukaryota; Metazoa; Chordata; Mammalia; Perissodactyla; Equidae. The record is from RefSeq and is a predicted model, not a curated record.